UUUAAUUUUAUUAUUUGUUUUUUUGUAAAGGAAAUAUAUUUAGGUUUUAUUAUAUUUUUAGGAAAAAAUUUUUUUUAUAAUAGUUUAUUAGUAUAGUGAUAGAAUUAAUUUAAAAUAAAUAAAGAAGAAUUAAUUUUUCGUACCUUGUGUAUCAGGGUUUAUUAAAAAAAUAUUAAAAAUUUUAAUUUUCUCGAUUUUUAGUGAGUUAAUUAGUUAUCUAUUUUAUUGUAAAAUAAAUAUUUUAAAUAGCUAGUUGGUAGUUAAAUGCUAUUCGAACUAAAUUAUAUCUAGUUUUUAAAGAAAAAAAUUUAAUUUUAAUUAUAUAGAUAUUAAUUUAGUAUUAAAUAUAUUUAAUUUUGUAUAAUUUAUAUUUUAGGGGAUAAGCUCUUUAAUAGAAUAAUUAAAAGUUAUUAGAAUUUUAUUUAAAUUGUAGGGUUAGAAAUUUUCAUCAUUUAGUUUGUUAUAAUUAAUUAAUUAAUGUUAAAGAUUUGUAUUAAUUUUAAUUGUUUUAUUUAAAAAUUUAAUUAAAUAAAAAAAUUGAAGGUUUUAUGAUAAAAUUAGUAUAAUUUUUAUUGUAAUUUAUUAUUAAAUUAUUAAGGUUAUAAAAAGGAAUUCGGCAAAUAUAUUUUUCGCCUGUUUAAUAAAAACAUGUCUUUUUGAUUUUAAUUUAAAGUCUGACCUGCCCACUGAUUUUUAAAUGGCCGCAGUAUUUUGACUGUGCAAAGGUAGCAUAAUCAUUAGUUUCUUAAUUAGAAGCUGGAAUGAAGGGUUGGACGAGAAAAUAACUGUCUCUUUGUAAUUUUAUUAAAAUUUUAUCUUUAAGUUAAAAAGCUUAAAUUUAAUUAAAAGACGAGAAGACCCUAUAGAGUUUUACAAAACUAAUAUUAGUAAUUUUAAUUGAACUUUUUUAAAUUUUAGUUUUAGUUAUGUUUGGUUGGGGUGAUUGAAAAAUUUAAGUAACUUUUUUUAUUAUAGAACAUAAAUUUAUGAAUUAUUGAUCCAUUAGUUGUGAUAAUAAGAUUAAAUUACCUUAGGGAUAACAGCGUAAUUUCUUUUAAGAGUUCUUAUCGAUAAAGAAGUUUGCGACCUCGAUGUUGGAUUAAAAUUAAAAAUUGGUGUAGAAGCUAAUUAUUUAGGUCUGUUCGACCUUUAAAAUUUUACAUGAUCUGAGUUUAAACCGGUGUGAGCCAGGUUGGUUUCUAUCUUUAAUGAAAAGUUGUAUUUUAGUACGAAAGGACCAAAUACUUGUAAUAAUUAUUUUUUAAUUGAAUAUUAUUAAUUA
RNAcentral lists this ribosomal RNA (1282 nucleotides) under Staphylinidae sp. BMNH 1274697. RNAcentral's name for it is "16S ribosomal RNA". The stretch from base 1036 to 1194 matches the Rfam family "Archaeal large subunit ribosomal RNA", at positions 2542 to 2701 of the family's 2987-position model. The record is from RNAcentral. Lineage: Eukaryota; Metazoa; Arthropoda; Insecta; Coleoptera; Staphylinidae.